Non-coding RNA from Pelobates cultripes (western spadefoot toad), 266 nucleotides. Lineage: Eukaryota; Metazoa; Chordata; Amphibia; Anura; Pelobatidae. The record is from the annotation of a GenBank genome assembly.
GUGAGGAAGGGGGUGACUAGUGACAGAGUGAGGGAGCGGGUGACACAGUGACAGAGUUAGGGAGGGAGUGACUAGUGACAGAGAGAGAGAUGGGGUGACUAGUGACAGUCACCCCCUCCCUCACUCUGUCUUCACUCCCUCCCUCUGUCACUAGUCACUCCCUCCCUCUGUCACUUGUCACUCCCUCACUCUGUCACCAGGCAUCCCCUCACUCUGUCACCAGUCAUCCCCUCACUCUGUCACUAGUCACCUCUUCCCUCCCUCAC